GGGGAAUAUUGCACAAUGGGGGAAACCCUGAUGCAGCGACGCCGCGUGAAGGACGAAGGUCUUCGGAUCGUAAACUUCUAUCAGCAGGGAAGAAGACGUGACUGUACCUGACUAAGAAGCCCCGGCUAACUACGUGCCAGCAGCCGCGGUAAUACGUAGGGGGCAAGCGUUAUCCGGAAUCACUGGGUGUAAAGGGUGCGUAGGCGGUAGGGCAAGUCAGAUGUGAAAGCCCGGGGCUCAACUCCGGGAUUGCAUUUGAAACUGUCUUACUAGAGUGCAGGAGAGGAAAGCGGAAUUCCUAGUGUAGCGGUGAAAUGCGUAGAUAUUAGGAAGAACACCAGUGGCGAAGGCGGCUUUCUGGACUGUAACUGACGCUGAGGCACGAAAGCGUGGGGAGCGAAC
Molecule: ribosomal RNA, 402 nt
Filed under: uncultured bacterium
Lineage: Bacteria
Description: bacterial SSU rRNA
Rfam family: Bacterial small subunit ribosomal RNA
Source: RNAcentral